AGUGAACGCUGGCGGUAGGCCUAACACAUGCAAGUCGAACGGCAGCACAGUAAGAGCUUGCUCUUACGGGUGGCGAGUGGCGGACGGGUGAGGAAUACAUCGGAAUCUACUUUUUCGUGGGGGAUAACGUAGGGAAACUUACGCUAAUACCGCAUACGACCUACGGGUGAAAGCAGGGGAUCUUCGGACCUUGCGCGAUUGAAUGAGCCGAUGUCGGAUUAGCUAGUUGGCGGGGUAAAGGCCCACCAAGUCGACGAUCCGUAGCUGGUCUGAGAGGAUGAUCAGCCACACUGGAACUGAGACACGGUCCAGACUCCUACGGGAGGCAGCAGUGGGGAAUAUUGGACAAUGGGCGCAAGCCUGAUCCAGCCAUCCCGCGUGGGUGAAGAAGGCCUUCGGGUUGUAAAGCCCUUUUGUUGGGAAAGAAAAGCAGCAGGUUAAUACCCCGCUGUUCUGACGGUACCCAAAGAAUAAGCACCGGCUAACUUCGUG
This 492-nucleotide ribosomal RNA is filed under the name uncultured bacterium. RNAcentral's name for it is "partial 16S ribosomal RNA". It matches the Rfam family "Bacterial small subunit ribosomal RNA", at positions 29 to 507 of the family's 1533-position model. The record is from RNAcentral.